Molecule: long non-coding RNA, 1002 nt
Organism: Melospiza georgiana
Lineage: Eukaryota; Metazoa; Chordata; Aves; Passeriformes; Passerellidae
Exons: 4
Source: RefSeq, a predicted model, not a curated record
GAGGCCGUGCAGCACAUGACAUCCAUGGCGAUGAAGACGUUGCAGAAGAGGCGCCCGAAGAUCCACUCCCCGCCGAUAAGGUCUCACCCGGGAAGCUGCGGGAUGGUGGCCCGGCCGGAGCGGGGUCGGAGCCUCUCGGUUUGCCGGCUCCGGCACAGCCCUGUGACACGUCCCGUGUAUGUAAGCACUCCUCUGUGUUUCCAAGCUUGCAGAUUCUUCUUCGUAAUCAGUUGGUAAACAGUUCUGAUCACAUAACAUCUUCAGCAUUUGUUAUUGAUACUAAGUGUAUAUUACAGCAGAGGCCAUUGCUAUCAAAUCUUUGCUGCCAUGUUAGUGAGAUAAGAAAGGACUGUCUUGAGGUCUAAGUGUAUUGAGGAAGAAACACUUGGAGUGAGGAGAUCUGUUUUCACCACGGAGAACUUCAGGACAGCAAUGAAACAAAGCAUGUUAGAAGCUUGCAGCUGAACAGUGAGGACCAUAAGGAAGCUCUCCUCAGACCACUGGGGCGGGCGUAAAUAAAAGCAGUAACAUCUAAAUAAUAACAUAGAAAAGAAUGCUGUGCACUGUUCUGAGUAUAUGAUUCGUGAUUCCUGCUGCUAAAAGUGCUUCAUACUCGGAUUCUUACACCAUUACAGCAAAUAGAGUUCUGUAGAGCUUCUUCAUGAAGAUCUGUUUAAAUGUCCUCCAUUUUAAGCACCUCAAGGAAAGGUUUCUUUUGCUUGUAUAUUGCCAAACACGAAGGCUGCUUAAUCUUCUUUGGUAUCUCUGAACAAUGCUGCAGUAGGACUGUUCAGAAAUAACUGAUACAUGCUUCUGGAUCGCUUUUUACAUUCAUUAAGACAAAUCAAGUUACAUCAAACACUGAGCCAAAGAAAACCUGGAAUAAUAUCUCAAGCUGCUCCAUUUUCACACACAUCCAAUAAAAACCUUGGCAAUUCCAUUCAGAUUGUGCUCUUUCUUCAAAUGGCUGGCAAAGAAGCAGUAUUGGCUGAUGUGAUGUAA